RNAcentral lists this ribosomal RNA (416 nucleotides) under uncultured bacterium. Its description in RNAcentral is "bacterial SSU rRNA". It matches the Rfam family "Bacterial small subunit ribosomal RNA", at positions 355 to 787 of the family's 1533-position model. The record is from RNAcentral.
UGGGGAAUAUUGCACAAUGGGGGAAACCCUGAUGCAGCGACGCCGCGUGAAGGAAGAAGUAUCUCGGUAUGUAAACUUCUAUCAGCAGGGAAGAAAAUGACGGUACCUGACUAAGAAGCCCCGGCUAACUACGUGCCAGCAGCCGCGGUAAUACGUAGGGGGCAAGCGUUAUCCGGAUUUACUGGGUGUAAAGGGAGCGUAGACGGAGCAGCAAGUCUGAUAUGGAAGGCAGGGGCUCAACCCCUGGACUGCAUUGGAAACUGUUGAUCUUGAGUACCGGAGGGGUAAGCGGAAUUCCUAGUGUAGCGGUGAAAUGCUUAGAUAUCAUGAAGAACUCCGAUCGCGAAGGCAAGUGCCCCGGGGUGCAACUGACGCUGAGGCUCGAAGGUGCGGGUAUCGAACAGGAUUAGAUACCC